UGGAGUAGGAAGGGAACUA
RNAcentral lists this unclassified non-coding RNA (19 nucleotides) under Mus musculus (house mouse). RNAcentral's name for it is "oocyte_clustered_small_RNA12982". The record is from RNAcentral. Lineage: Eukaryota; Metazoa; Chordata; Mammalia; Rodentia; Muridae.